GAUGAACGCUGGCGGCGUGCCUAAUACAUGCAAGUCGAGCGAACUGAUUAGAAGCUUGCUUCUAUGACGUUAGCGGCGGACGGGUGAGUAACACGUGGGCAACCUGCCUGUAAGACUGGGAUAACUUCGGGAAACCGAAGCUAAUACCGGAUAGCAUCUUCUCCUUCAUGGGAGAUGAUUGAAAGAUGGUUUCGGCUAUCACUUACAGAUGGGCCCGCGGUGCAUUAGCUAGUUGGUGAGGUAACGGCUCACCAAGGCAACGAUGCAUAGCCGACCUGAGAGGGUGAUCGGCCACACUGGGACUGAGAUACGGCCCAGACUCCUACGGGAGGCAGCAGUAGGGAAUCUUCCGCAAUGGACGAAAGUCUGACGGAGCAACGCCGCGUGAGUGAUGAAGGCUUUCGGGUCGUAAAACUCUGUUGUUAGGGAAGAACAAGUACGAGAGUAACUGCUCGUACCUUGACGGUACCUAACCAGAAAGCCACGGCUAACUACGUGCCAGCCGCCGCCGUAA
RNAcentral lists this ribosomal RNA (514 nucleotides) under uncultured bacterium. Its description in RNAcentral is "partial 16S ribosomal RNA". It matches the Rfam family "Bacterial small subunit ribosomal RNA", at positions 28 to 523 of the family's 1533-position model. The record is from RNAcentral.